RNAcentral lists this ribosomal RNA (1900 nucleotides) under Vibrio cholerae. Its description in RNAcentral is "partial 23S ribosomal RNA". It matches the Rfam family "Bacterial large subunit ribosomal RNA", at positions 910 to 2797 of the family's 2925-position model. Lineage: Bacteria; Pseudomonadati; Pseudomonadota; Gammaproteobacteria; Vibrionales; Vibrionaceae. The record is from RNAcentral.
CUGUUAAGGCUAGGGGGUCAUCCCGACUUACCAACCCUUUGCAAACUCCGAAUACCAGUAAGUACUAUCCGGGAGACACACGGCGGGUGCUAACGUCCGUCGUGGAGAGGGAAACAACCCAGACCGCCAGCUAAGGUCCCAAAGUAUUGCUAAGUGGGAAACGAUGUGGGAAGGCUCAGACAGCUAGGAUGUUGGCUUAGAAGCAGCCAUCAUUUAAAGAAAGCGUAAUAGCUCACUAGUCGAGUCGGCCUGCGCGGAAGAUGUAACGGGGCUAAGCAAUACACCGAAGCUGCGGCAAUAUCUUUUAGAUAUUGGGUAGGGGAGCGUUCUGUAAGCCGUUGAAGGUGAAUCGUAAGGUUUGCUGGAGGUAUCAGAAGUGCGAAUGCUGACAUGAGUAACGACAAAGGGGGUGAAAAACCUCCUCGCCGGAAGACCAAGGGUUCCUGUCCAACGUUAAUCGGGGCAGGGUGAGUCGACCCCUAAGGUGAGGCCGAAAGGCGUAAUCGAUGGGAAACGGGUUAAUAUUCCCGUACUUCUGACUAUUGCGAUGGGGGGACGGAGAAGGCUAGGUGGGCCAGGCGACGGUUGUCCUGGUUCAAGUGCGUAGGCUUGAGAGUUAGGUAAAUCCGGCUCUCUCUAAGGCUGAGACACGACGUCGAGCUGCUACGGCAGUGAAGUCAUUGAUGCCAUGCUUCCAGGAAAAGCCUCUAAGCUUCAGAUAGUCAGGAAUCGUACCCCAAACCGACACAGGUGGUCGGGUAGAGAAUACCAAGGCGCUUGAGAGAACUCGGGUGAAGGAACUAGGCAAAAUGGUACCGUAACUUCGGGAGAAGGUACGCUCUUGAUGGUGAAGUCCCUCGCGGAUGGAGCUGACGAGAGUCGCAGAUACCAGGUGGCUGCAACUGUUUAUUAAAAACACAGCACUGUGCAAAAUCGCAAGAUGACGUAUACGGUGUGACGCCUGCCCGGUGCCGGAAGGUUAAUUGAUGGGGUUAGCGCAAGCGAAGCUCUUGAUCGAAGCCCCGGUAAACGGCGGCCGUAACUAUAACGGUCCUAAGGUAGCGAAAUUCCUUGUCGGGUAAGUUCCGACCUGCACGAAUGGCGUAAUGAUGGCCACGCUGUCUCCACCCGAGACUCAGUGAAAUUGAAAUCGCUGUGAAGAUGCAGUGUACCCGCGGCUAGACGGAAAGACCCCGUGAACCUUUACUACAGCUUGGCACUGAACAUUGAACCUACAUGUGUAGGAUAGGUGGGAGGCUAUGAAGACGUGACGCCAGUUGCGUUGGAGCCGUCCUUGAAAUACCACCCUUGUAUGUUUGAUGUUCUAACUUAGACCCAUUAUCUGGGUUGAGGACAGUGCCUGGUGGGUAGUUUGACUGGGGCGGUCUCCUCCCAAAGAGUAACGGAGGAGCACGAAGGUGGGCUAAUCACGGUUGGACAUCGUGAGGUUAGUGCAAUGGCAUAAGCCCGCUUAACUGCGAGAAUGACGGUUCGAGCAGGUGCGAAAGCAGGUCAUAGUGAUCCGGUGGUUCUGUAUGGAAGGGCCAUCGCUCAACGGAUAAAAGGUACUCCGGGGAUAACAGGCUGAUACCGCCCAAGAGUUCAUAUCGACGGCGGUGUUUGGCACCUCGAUGUCGGCUCAUCACAUCCUGGGGCUGAAGUCGGUCCCAAGGGUAUGGCUGUUCGCCAUUUAAAGUGGUACGCGAGCUGGGUUUAGAACGUCGUGAGACAGUUCGGUCCCUAUCUGCCGUGGGCGUUGGAAGAUUGAAGGGGGCUGCUCCUAGUACGAGAGGACCGGAGUGGACGAACCUCUGGUGUUCGGGUUGUGUCGCCAGACGCAUUGCCCGGUAGCUAAGUUCGGAAUUGAUAAGCGCUGAAAGCAUCUAAGCGCGAAGCGAGC